AUAUAUUAUCUCGUUAAAAAGAAAACAAAAAAACAAAAAAACAUUUGAGUUCAAUUUCAGAUCAAUAUAAUUGGUCUAUUUUAUUAGCGAAUCGUUGAAUUUGUAAGACUCGUCCAAGUAAUGCCAAUAUGACAAUGGAUCCGACCCGUUCCUUCGUUGCAAAGCUUUCGAUAGAAUGGCGGACCAGUUUACUGUACAAGAAGAAUACUUUAUCGAUCACCAAUUUUAAAUUUUUUUUGUUGACAUUCACCCCACAUACACC
This 262-nucleotide long non-coding RNA is filed under the name Mytilus galloprovincialis (Mediterranean mussel). The record is from RNAcentral. Lineage: Eukaryota; Metazoa; Mollusca; Bivalvia; Mytilida; Mytilidae.